GGCCAUGUGGAGCUUGUUGCGGAGAGUGGAGUGGUGUCCGUUGUCGUGACUUGCGAGAGAGUGGUGGAGCUGCAUGGAAUCUGUUGCAGAGAGUGGAGCAGGGUGGCGGUUCUUGUCAUGGCUUGUCAGAGAGUGGUGGAGCCGCAUGGAAUCCGUUGCAGCGAAUGGAGUAAGGUAGUGGCCCUUGUCAUGGCUUGCCAAAGAGCUUGGAUCCGUCGGC
This 220-nucleotide long non-coding RNA is filed under the name Elaeis guineensis (African oil palm). RNAcentral's name for it is "long non-coding RNA (EGUI_LNC066270)". Lineage: Eukaryota; Viridiplantae; Streptophyta; Magnoliopsida; Arecales; Arecaceae. The record is from RNAcentral.